Sander lucioperca (pikeperch) is the source of this 894-nucleotide long non-coding RNA. RefSeq lists it as uncharacterized. The record is from RefSeq and is a predicted model, not a curated record. NCBI's taxonomy places the organism in Eukaryota, Metazoa, Chordata, Actinopteri, Perciformes, Percidae. The transcript is spliced from 3 exons.
CUCUCUCUGUGUCUCUCUGUGUCUCUCUGUGUGUCUCUGUGUGUGUCUGUGUGUCUUCUCUCCAGGAGAGGAAUGAAAUGUUAUUGCAGUUUAGCCAUUUCAGUAUUUAUUUACAAUGAUUGAGCCUUUGCAAUUCAGAAUGUAUCUUUGUACAUUGAAUAUGAAUAUAUAUAUGAUUAUAUAUGAGACAUGAACAUUGCUUGGGUUGAUUGCUUUGACAACAGUUGUUGCUUUUGAAAUGAUAUGAAUUUGUUGUGUAGGGGGUAACCUUACUCAGCUAUGCACUAUGUCUGAGGGGAGAGGAGUGAGGCGGGUUUGCUUCAGGCUUGUUUUUGAUUUUUGAAGUAUAACCCCUGCAGCCUGUCCACAGACUCUGACACAAUCAGUUUUCAACUAAUGCAGGAAAAAAAGUCAAACUAUAGUCGAGUAGCGAGCAACUUCAUCCCACCACAGCACGAUAGAGCAUCUCUCCCUCCUCCACAGGUCUGUCAUCCCUCUCAUCUGCAUACUGUAUGCGUGUCAUUAACUUAGCAGGGACUUUCUCUCUUCCAGGUUAGCAGUACACACGCCAUCCUUUACUUCUACAGCGUCUCUAGCCUUACUCAUUUUUAACAGUCAAUUAAAGCAACUUUUGUUGGCAAGUUCUGUCUACUUGUAAUGUUUUGUCUUCAUCAGAAAGUAUUCACAGCUAGUCUAAGAUAUAGAGCUGAUGCUUUAUAGAAGUUUCUUUGACUUCAACCUUGCAGUGAAACUCACCAGUAAACAAAAACUGACCAAUCCGACGCAAAACAACACCACUUAAACCUGGCUUACUUCACUAAACCAGGCUCAUUGUCCCUUCCGUAAAUAGGUUAAAAAAAAAUAUAUAUAUGUAUAAAUUGUGUGUGUGUGUGU